RNAcentral lists this ribosomal RNA (484 nucleotides) under uncultured bacterium. RNAcentral's name for it is "partial 16S ribosomal RNA". It matches the Rfam family "Bacterial small subunit ribosomal RNA", at positions 30 to 507 of the family's 1533-position model. The record is from RNAcentral.
AUUGAACGCUGGCGGCAGGCCUAACACAUGCGAGUCGAGCGGAUGAAGGGAGCUUGCUCCUGGAUUCAGCGGCGGACGGGUGAGUAAUGCCUAGGAAUCUGCCUGGUAGUGGGGGAUAACGUCCGGAAACGGGCGCUAAUACCGCAUACGUCCUGAGGGAGAAAGUGGGGGAUCUUCGGACCUCACGCUAUCAGAUGAGCCUAGGUCGGAUUAGCUAGUUGGUGGGGUAAAGGCCUACCAAGGCGACGAUCCGUAACUGGUCUGAGAGGAUGAUCAGUCACACUGGAACUGAGACACGGUCCAGACUCCUACGGGAGGCAGCAGUGGGGAAUAUUGGACAAUGGGCGAAAGCCUGAUCCAGCCAUGCCGCGUGUGUGAAGAAGGUCUUCUGAUUGUAAAGCACUUUAAGUUGGGAGGAAGGGCAGUAAGUUAAUACCUUGCUGUUUUGACGUUACCAACAGAAUAAGCACCGGCUAACUUCGUG